Molecule: ribosomal RNA, 217 nt
Filed under: uncultured bacterium
Lineage: Bacteria
Description: partial 16S ribosomal RNA
Rfam family: Bacterial small subunit ribosomal RNA
Source: RNAcentral
UACAUCGGAACGUGCCCAAUCGUGGGGGAUAACGUAGCGAAAGCUACGCUAAUACCGCAUACGAUCUACGGAUGAAAGCGGGGGAUCGCAAGACCUCGCGCGAAUGGAGCGGCCGAUGGCAGAUUAGGUAGUUGGUGGGGUAAAGGCUCACCAAGCCUUCGAUCUGUAGCUGGUCUGAGAGGACGACCAGCCACACUGGGACUGAGACACGGCCCAG